CCUACGGGUGGCAGCAGUGAGGAAUAUUGGUCAAUGGGCUUACGCCUGAACCAGCCAAGUCGCGUGAGGGAAGACUGCCCUAUGGGUUGUAAACCUCUUUUGCCAGGGAGCAACGCCGGCUACGUGUAGCCGGACUGAGAGUACCUGAAGAAAAAGCAUCGGCUAACUCCGUGCCAGCAGACGCGGUAAUACGGAGGAUGCGAGCGAUAUCCGGCUUUAUUGGGUUUACAGGGUGCGUAGGCGGACUGCCAAGUCAGCGGUAAAAUCGCGGGGCUAACCCUCGCUCCGCCGUUGAAACUGGCGUUAUUGAGUGGGCGAGAAGAAUGCGGAAUGCGUGGUGUAGCGGUGAAAUGCAUAGAGAUCACGCAGAACACCGGUUGCGAAGGCAGCAUACCGGCGCCCAACUGACGCUGAAGCACGAAAGCGUGGGUAUCGAACAGGAUUAGAUACCCGGGUAGUC
RNAcentral lists this ribosomal RNA (460 nucleotides) under uncultured bacterium. RNAcentral's name for it is "partial 16S ribosomal RNA". It matches the Rfam family "Bacterial small subunit ribosomal RNA", at positions 338 to 795 of the family's 1533-position model. The record is from RNAcentral.